UUUUUUUUUUUGCUUUUUAGGGGCCAUGUCUGUGGCACAUGGAAGUUCCUGGGCUACAGGUCAAAUUGGAGCUACAGCUGCAGGCCUAUGCCACAGCCACAGCAACACCAGAUACAAACUGUGUCUGCAAUCUACACCGCCACUCACAACAACGCUGGAUCCUUUUUUUUUUUUGUCUUUUCUAGAGCCACACUCAGCAUAUGGAGCGGCCCUAGAAAAGGCAAAAAGGAAAAAACAAAAAAAACAAAAAAACACACUGGUUAGGACAUGCUGCCUAGACAACCAUCUAGAGACUAGCAGAACACCCAACAAGGGGGUCUGGCCCUGAAGCACAGCGCAGUGCUGUAGAAAGGGGUCUGCAGCCUCCUUCCAAAGGCCGAGUACAGUCCAGGACCGUGCACCUUGGGUCUGGGGGUACCAGGUAAACUGUAGACUUGUUGAUUUUUUUUUUUUUUCAGUUAAUUCAGUCUCUCUUGUAGGCUGCUGAAUGUGGUGUGCAGCGGCGGCCUGUCCAACAAAGUAGAUCUUUCCAGACACAAGAAGAGAAAUAAAGCCAGGGAAAGAACACUGACUGACCACGAGCUCUGCCCCAUCCCUGACCUCCACUGAAUAAGGUGGGCCCUAGUAAUGGGGGCUUCCAAUGCUGAUCCUCUGAGUACUUGAAGGUUUGUCAUUUGAUGUUCUAGAACUUAAUGUUUCUUCCAAUAAAAAAAGAACAACUCUCCUUAUGUUAUCUUGCCAUCUUAAAGGAAUGCGAUGCAGUUGGGAAGAAUAAUUCCACGGACAGCAUUUUCAAGGGAAGAAAAAUGUUUAUAAGUAGGACAAUGUUAAAAACGAUUUAAGGAGUUCCCAUUGUGGCACAGCAGAAACUAAUCCAACUGGUAUCCAUGAGGAUGUGGAUUCAAUCCCUGGCCUUGCUCAUUGGGUUAAGGAUCUGGUGUUGCUGUGAGCUGUGGUGUAGGUCGCAGACAUUGCUCGGAUCCCUUGUUGCUAUGGCUCUGGUGUAGGCCAGCAGCUGUAGCUCAGAUUCGACCCCUAGCCUGGGAACUUCCUAGUAUAAUCUGUUUUACAUAUUCUUUUUAGACUUAUUCUUAAUUUUCAAACAGAAUUCAAAGCCAAUAUAUUUGCACACUUUUUUUGACAAAGCAAACUUUUUUUCUUGCCAAAAAAACUUUUGAACUACUAAGAGGCAGCAGUGUGACAAGUAAGAGCCUGGGUUUGGCUCUAGUCAAAACUGUAUACUCUUGGGAAAUUAUUUAACUUCUCUGGGCCUCAAUUCUUUAUCUCAACUCAGUACU
RNAcentral lists this long non-coding RNA (1298 nucleotides) under Sus scrofa (pig). RNAcentral's name for it is "lncRNA (ENSSSCG00040011118.1)". The record is from RNAcentral. Lineage: Eukaryota; Metazoa; Chordata; Mammalia; Artiodactyla; Suidae.